UGCAACUCGCCUGCAUGAAGUCGGAAUUGCUAGUAAUCGCAGAUCAGCAUGCUGCGGUGAAUACGUUCCCGGGCCUUGUACACACCGCCCGUCACACCAUGGGAGUCGGUAACACCCGAAGUCGGUAGCCUAACCGUAAGGAGGGCGCCGCCGAAGGUGGGAUUGAUGACUGGGGCGAAGUCGUAACAAGGUAAC
This 195-nucleotide ribosomal RNA is filed under the name uncultured bacterium. Its description in RNAcentral is "partial 16S ribosomal RNA". It matches the Rfam family "Bacterial small subunit ribosomal RNA", at positions 1306 to 1500 of the family's 1533-position model. The record is from RNAcentral.